This 4791-nucleotide long non-coding RNA is filed under the name Nicotiana tabacum (common tobacco). RNAcentral describes it as "long non-coding RNA (NTAB_LNC003556)". Lineage: Eukaryota; Viridiplantae; Streptophyta; Magnoliopsida; Solanales; Solanaceae. The record is from RNAcentral.
UACAUUCUCAUAAAUAACUAAGAUAGUAGAAGACUGACAAGAGCUUAACGAGAUGACUAGUUCACCUCAUAGCAUUCACAUCAACAUUGGAAUCAGGAUGUCGCUCACCACCUGCCAAAAAUAAAUGAUAAUUACAACAAAGAAAAGAAAAGCAGGGUAGAACCAAAAGAACUUUAAAGCAUCAAUUUUCUCAUCAUUUAUCGGUAUAUAAAUUUUUUUGGAAAUUCCAACCUGCACAAAGCAAACACCUUGAAGGCUUGAACAAGAAACAGUGCCGGCUCUAGGGGGAGGCCAAUUAAGCAAUUGCUUUAGGCCCCCCAAAUUGAAGGCCCCAAUUUUAUGACUAUUAUUUAGUAUUACAUAUAUUGUAAAAUUAUUAUUAUGAAAAAGAAACUAAAUUUAUGUUUUCUUGUAAUAUGAUAGAAGUUAUUUUGAUAAAUACUGAAUUUUCUAAUAAAAAUGUAUUAUAUAAAAAGAACAAUUUGAUGAUGUUAUUGACAAUUAAAAAGAUAAAAUAAAAGUCUCUUGUAGUAUUUUUUAAAGUUGAUAUUUCUUACAAAGAGUUGAUCAACGUUGUUUCAAUUCAAAACAGACUUGAACUAUUCGAAAUACCUAAUUAUACUAAUGCUUAACAAAGUGAUAUCAUUAUAUGAUAAAAACUUAUAAAAAUUAUCUUGACCAUGGAUGUUAAUAAUAUUGAAGCUUUGAUGAGUAGAGUUAUAAGAUACCCAGUGCAUAGUCAAAAUAAGUACAAGAUGGUCUAUACACCACCUUAACAACAAGAAGAAAAACAUGUAAAAUUUUAUUUAUAAAAAUUAAAGGCCUACCAAUUCUGUUGAGUGGCCUCUGACAAGAAAAUGCAGACGUUAGGGAGUGGUGGGACCGGGAAACACCAAAGUUAGGGAGUUCUUCACCAACCAUGGCUGGAACAUUGGGAGCUUCUCCAGGACACGGUGCCACAGAGAGCUUUAGAUGAGAUUAUGCAAAUCAAGAUCGGCCGUAAUCAAAUCCAAGAUCAAGCCAUCUGGACUCCCACCCCUCAAGGAUCCUUUACAUGCUCCUCUGCCUAUCAACUUCUCAGGAAAAUAAGAGAGAAUUCGCCUCAACUAGCCAAAAUCUGGAAUAAUCACCUACCUUUUAAAAUCUCCUUUGCAACAUGGAGACUCUUGAAAGGCAGGUUACCACUGGAUGACAUUGUUCUAAAGUUUGGUACAAACAUUAUUUCUAGAUGUUGUUGCAGGGUGCCAUUGGAUGACCAUGUUUUUGCAAAUAGCAAUACAGCAAAGAAGGUAUGGAAUACUAUGUCCACUCCACUGGGAUUCCAGACCACGGGAAGGAACACUAUAUGCCAUCCUAAAUCAAUGGUGGAGCAAACAGCCAAAAAACAAUGUCCAUAAGUUUCUACUGCAAAUUACCCCAACUAUAAUAUGCUAGGAGAUAUGGAAGGCCAGAUGUGGCAAGAAAUAUGGUAAGAAGACUAUUUCUGUUUUUAGAAUAUGUCAACAGGUUCUUUUUCAGGUUAAAGUUUCCAUGGGCCAGAAAUACAGUCAAAUGAAUUGGGACUGGACAUGGAAUACAGUUUGCAAGGUAGUGGAAGACUACAAAACAAGACUGAGGAGUGUUAUGGUUCUAUGGGAACCACCUGAUUGCAAUCGGUGGAAAAUUAACACAGAUGGCAGCUUCAUCGCAAACUUAAGAAAAGAAAUGGACACAUGGUGAUGGCCUUCUCCGCACCAGUACAUUUCUUAACUAACAACUACUCUGAAGUGCAAGCGGACCUGUUUGGUAUUCUUUGGUGUAGUGACCAUAACUGUCAAGAUCUUAGCUUGGAACUAGAUUCUCUUCUGGUAGUCAACAUGAUUCUAGGGACAUACAAUUCCCCAUGGAGACUUAAAGAAGACAUUACUCUAAUACAACAAAGGGUGCAACCGUGCAACAACAUGGUAUCAAGAUCAAACAUUGCUACAGAGAAGGGAAUGAAGUGGCCGACGCCUUAUCCAAACACGCUACUACUCUCAGUGAGCAGGUUAUUUUCCUCAACGAAAAUGACCUACCUACUAAGGCCAAAAGAGCCAUCACUGUGGAUAGAUUGCAGGUCCCAAAUUUCAGAAUUAGGCCAAGAAAACACUCAGGAUGGACUUUUGAGCCUCCUUAAAUGUUAAAGGAAGAGCUACUGUUGAGCUGAACUCACAUCCCAAUAGAGUAGCUCUUUUAUACUUGUAAGGCCUAGCCAUUUAUGUUUAUGCUGGCACUGCUCCAAUGGGAGGUUUUGGUUUAAAUGUCCCCCUCCUUUGUACUAUUUUGCUAAUGAAUAAAUAGGGUAGGGGUCAACGCCAAACCCCCCAACAACACAGGAGAUGAAAACCUGGGUGGAUGGUUUAAAUAAAUAAAAAAAUGCAGACUUUGCGGUUGAGAAAGACAAGUUGCAACCACAAGGGAGUUGAAUGUUUUAGGUAUAACAUUAUUUUGAUGUGAACCAAAACUCCGAUCCUACUAAAGAAUUUUCCAAAGGGAACCUAAUUACAGUACAGGAAAACAGGACUUUCGGUUACGAUCCACGAAGUAGCCACAAAAUCAAGGGCUUUUCGUGGCGACAUAUCUAGUUGCAUGAAAGGUAAAGAUUUUGAGUGGCGACCUGGAAAGUUGCCACGUAUAAUCGAGACUAAAUUUUUGUUCUCCGAAAAUGAAAUAUUUUGAAAUAUUUGGCAUGGAAAGUUUUUGUGGCAACCCGAUGAAAGUUACCACAGAUAGGUAUUUGUGGAGACCUAGUCCCUUCUUUUGGUCCUUGUUUCCAGUUAAGCUGGAAUUUCAGUGUUCCUUUGUAUUUGUUUCUGCAGUUAAACUUAAAAACUUUAUGCAGUAUUUUCUCUUCAGUAUCUGUGCAGAAAUGGACAAAAGGCUCCAAGAACACGAGUAGAAGCGGACAAAAGGAUUUAAGAAGAGAUGGCUGCUAUGAUGUCCAGAAUUCAACAGGUAAUGCAGUUUCUAUCUUUAUAGACAUAAAGGCAUUUAUAGUUUCCAUAAAAACAUGAUGUAGUCCACCUUUUUUUCUCUCCAAAUUCUUGACUCAACUGGACUCUAGGGGAUGCAUAAUGAACUAGAAGAGUAAAUAGAAAGCCAAGAGGAGUGGUAGCCUCAGAUUCUACAAAUACUAAUACCUUAUCGAAGUUCAGCUUUAGCAAAAGAUAUGCAGUCGAAUAACAACAAAGCACAUCAGUAUCUUGAACACUAAUGCAAGAAGCUCUUCCAAUGAAUCAUGUACUCUUUGAGUAAAUUAUAAUCUCAGACUGUCUCAGUUGGACAAAAGUUUUUGUGAGAAUCUGAUUUGAGUUCAAAAUCAUUUCUUGGUAAAAAAGAAAAAUUGACAUGGGAAGAGAAAAGCUACACAUUCUCUUAGUUCUGCUCUUAAAGAAAUUGUUUCUUUCUUCAGUACUAAAGAUCCUUGCCAUCAUCAAGAAGAAGAAAGUGGAGAUCUUUCAUGCGGUUUCAGGAGGGUAAUCAUGGUGUAAAUGAAAAAAAAUAGAUUAUGCUGCAGCUUUAACUAUUACAAGGUUUAAGCUCCCUUAAUCUACUUUUUUCUGAUGAUGGCAAGAUUUUAGUACUGAAGAGACAACAAAUCCUUUAGGAGCAGAAAUAAGGGAAUGUGUAGUUUCCUGGAGAGGCAAAGCAUUAUUGUUCAUGCGAGAUUUGUAAUGUUUCUACCUGAACAACAUCAAACUGCAGCUAAAAGUAAUUCAUUUCUUAACACAGAAACUGACAAAACAAAGAAUAUCACAUAUCACAACAGCAUUGAUUAAAUGGAAUCGUGUGAAUUCUCUCAUAAACAUGAAUAUUCACAAAGUGAAUUAGCCAACAUACUUGUUGCUAAAUAACUAAAGAUCAGAAUGCAGCUAUUUUCAUUCCUUCUCUCAUUUAAGAAUAUGGAAAGAAUGCAUCAUGUUGGUUGCGGCUGACAAUGAAGUUUUGAGCAGUUAUCUUGUUGGUGUAAUGGAUGUUGCCGGCAAGCACACACAAUAAUAGCAACAUAAAUUUUACAAUAUUAGUAACCAAGGCUUUUCACUUUGUACUUUUUCUGCAACUUCCUGAUGCCUUUAAUGAAACACUUUACUUCAUCAAAAAAAAAAUUACAAUAUUAGCAAUACAUUUUGGCAAAUUAAAAUAUAUUAGACCAAAAUGGAGUGAAGUGGAUAGUGAUACUGCGGACCUCAGGAUUGAGGCAUAGUUGUUAUAUUUGUUGUGUAGCAAAAUGCACAGGCAUAAAUCAAUGAGUUGUAUGCACUUGGUUUCAACAGAUAAAACUUUAACACCAAACACUUACCGUGUAGUAUAUGUAGCUACUAGAACAAGCUACUAGAGAGUUUUUUUCCUACUUUUGCUUUGAGUUGAGGAAUCUGGAUACAAACCUCUUCCUUGGUGACUGCCUGCAACCGAGAAAAAAUAUAUGUUGUCAAUAUUAUUUGGAAAUAGAGAUCAAAUUGUGUAUUGGUUUUCCUAGAAUCACAGAGUAAAAUUGAGUGGUGAACCUACAGUAAAAAGUUAAGAGAUAUUAUUUCAUAUAAUAUAAUAUAAUAUAAUAUAAGAGGAAAAUAAUUAUUAAAAAAAAAAAGAUGAAGGAGGGAGAGGACCUACAAUGGAAAUGGAUCACUGACUUGUCUUUGACAUGCAACAAAAGAGAAGUCUAAGAUUGAAGAAAGAACAAGAACCACACAGACAUUUGAAACCCUAAUUUUAUUUUAUUUUUUCAGCGUUUGAUUUGAGUAUUUGGGACAAAGUAACCUUUGGAGACUUUUU